Molecule: ribosomal RNA, 251 nt
Filed under: uncultured prokaryote
Description: partial 16S rRNA
Rfam family: Bacterial small subunit ribosomal RNA
Source: RNAcentral
ACGGAGGGUGCAAGCGUUAAUCGGAAUUACUUCGCGUAAAGCGCACGCAGGCGGUUUGGUAAGUCAGAUGUGAAAUCCCCGGGCUCAACCUGGGAACUGCCUCUGAUACUGGAAAGCUGGAGUCUCGUAGAGGGGGGUAGAAUUCCAGGUGUAGCGGUGAAAUGCGUAGAUAUGUGGAGGAAUACCGAGGGCGAAGGCAGCCCCCUGGACGAUGACUGUCGCUCAGGUGCGAAAGCGUGGGGAGCAAACAG